GACGAACGCUGGCGGCGUGCUUAACACAUGCAAGUCGAACGGAAAGGCCCUGCUUUUGUGGGGUGCUCGAGUGGCGAACGGGUGAGUAACACGUGAGUAACCUGCCCUUGACUUUGGGAUAACUUCAGGAAACUGGGGCUAAUACCGGAUAGGAGCUCCUGCUGCAUGGUGGGGGUUGGAAAGUUUCGGCGGUUGGGGAUGGACUCGCGGCUUAUCAGCUUGUUGGUGGGGUAGUGGCUUACCAAGGCUUUGACGGGUAGCCGGCCUGAGAGGGUGACCGGCCACAUUGGGACUGAGAUACGGCCCAGACUCCUACGGGAGGCAGCAGUGGGGAAUAUUGCACAAUGGGCGGAAGCCUGAUGCAGCAACGCCGCGUGCGGGAUGACGGCCUUCGGGUUGUAAACCGCUUUCGCCUGUGACGAAGCGUGAGUGACGGUAAUGGGUAAAGAAGCACCGGCUAACUACGUGCCAGCAGCCGCGGUGAUACGUAGGGUGCGAGCGUUGUCCGGAUUUAUUGGGCGUAAAGGGCUCGUAGGUGGUUGAUCGCGUCGGAAGUGUAAUCUUGGGGCUUAACCCUGAGCGUGCCUUCGAUACGGGUUGACUUGAGGAAGGUAGGGGAGAAUGGAAUUCCUGGUGGAGCGGUGGAGUGCGCAGAUAUCAGGAGGAACACCAGUGGCGAAGGCGGUUCUCUGGGCCUUUCCUGACGCUGAGGAGCGAAAGCGUGGGGAGCGAACAGGCUUAGAUACCCUGGUAGUCCACGCUGUAAACGGUGGGUACUAGGUGUGGGGUCCAUUCCACGGGUUCCGUGCCGUAGGUAACGCUUUAAGUACCCCGCCUGGGGAGUACGGCCGCAAGGCUAAAACUCAAAGGAAUUGACGGGGCCCCGCACAAGCGGCGGAGCAUGCGGAUUAAUUCGAUGCAACGCGUAGAACCUUACCUGGGUUUGACAUGGAUCGGGAGUGCUCAGAGAUGGGUGUGCCUCUUUUGGGGUCGGUUCACAGGUGGUGCAUGCCUGUCGUCAGCUCGUGUCGUGAGAUGUUGGGUUAAGUCCCGCAACGAGCGCAACCCUUGUUCACUGUUGCCAGCACGUUAUGGUGGGGACUCAGUGGAGACCGCCGGGGUCAACUCGGAGGAAGGUGGGGAUGACGUCAAGUCCUCAUGCCCCUUAUGUCCAGGGCUUCACGCAUGCUACAAUGGCUGGUACAGAGAGUGGCGAGCCUGUGAGGGUGAGCGAAUCUCGGAAAGCCGGUCUCAGUUCGGAUUGGGGUCUGCAACUCGACCUCAUGAAGUCGGAGUCGCUAGUAAUCGCAGAUCAGCAACGCUGCGGUGAAUACGUUCCCGGG
RNAcentral lists this ribosomal RNA (1343 nucleotides) under uncultured bacterium. RNAcentral's name for it is "16S ribosomal RNA". It matches the Rfam family "Bacterial small subunit ribosomal RNA", at positions 28 to 1378 of the family's 1533-position model. The record is from RNAcentral.